RNAcentral lists this microRNA precursor (57 nucleotides) under Oreochromis niloticus (Nile tilapia). Its description in RNAcentral is "microRNA oni-mir-10700 precursor". Lineage: Eukaryota; Metazoa; Chordata; Actinopteri; Cichliformes; Cichlidae. The record is from miRBase by way of RNAcentral.
UUCGUUAGUGCAGAAGACAGACUGCGUCUCAGACGUCGGGUCGUUUGCAUAGCGAGG